Molecule: unclassified non-coding RNA, 332 nt
Filed under: soil metagenome
Description: partial contains 5.8S ribosomal RNA, internal transcribed spacer 2, and large subunit ribosomal RNA
Rfam family: 5.8S ribosomal RNA (bases 1-120)
Source: RNAcentral
GAUGAAGAACGCAGCAAAAUGCGAUAAGUAAUGUGAAUUGCAGAAUUCAGUGAAUCAUCGAAUCUUUGAACGCACAUUGCGCCCGCCAGUAUUCUGGCGGGCAUGUCUGUUCGAGCGUCAUUUCAACCCUCAAGCACAGCUUGGUGUUGGGACUCGCGUUAAUUCGCGUUCCCCAAAUUGAUUGGCGGUCACGUCGAGUUUCCAUAGCGUAGUAGUAAAACCCUCGUUACUGGUAAUCGUCGCGGCCACGCCGUUAAACCCCAACUUCUGAAUGUUGACCUCGGAUCAGGUAGGAAUACCCGCUGAACUUAAGCAUAUCAAUAAGCGGAGGA